This 71-nucleotide transfer RNA is filed under the name Freyastera benthophila. RNAcentral's name for it is "tRNA-Cys". It matches the Rfam family "tRNA". From Rfam's summary of the family: Transfer RNA (tRNA) molecules are approximately 80 nucleotides in length. Their secondary structure includes four short double-helical elements and three loops (D, anti-codon, and T loops). The record is from RNAcentral. Lineage: Eukaryota; Metazoa; Echinodermata; Asteroidea; Brisingida; Brisingidae.
GGUUUUGUAGUGUAAGAAACAUAUUGGAUUGCAAAUCUAUGGAUACGGGAGAAUAAGGUCCGUCAAAACUU